GGGCGUAUGAUGAAAAUUUAAUUAUCUUAGCGGAUUUCAGUGAGAUCUUAGUGUCAAUGAUCUGAUCGUUACACACACUGAAGCCC
Molecule: small nucleolar RNA, 86 nt
Organism: Rosa rugosa (rugosa rose)
Lineage: Eukaryota; Viridiplantae; Streptophyta; Magnoliopsida; Rosales; Rosaceae
Product: small nucleolar RNA R11/Z151
Exons: 1
Source: RefSeq, a predicted model, not a curated record